This 301-nucleotide ribosomal RNA is filed under the name uncultured bacterium. RNAcentral describes it as "partial 16S ribosomal RNA". It matches the Rfam family "Bacterial small subunit ribosomal RNA", at positions 509 to 809 of the family's 1533-position model. The record is from RNAcentral.
CAGUAGCCGCGGGAAUACGUAGGGCGCAAGCGUUAUCCGGAAUUAUUGGGCGUAAAGAGCUCGUAGGCGGUUUGUCGCGUCUGCCGUGAAAGUCCGGGGCUCAACCCCGGAUCUGCGGUGGGUACGGGCAGACUAGAGUGAUGUAGGGGAGACUGGAAUUCCUGGUGUAGCGGUGAAAUGCGUUGAGAUCGGAAAGAACACCAACGGCGAAAGCACUCUGCUGGGCCGACACUGACACUGAGAGACGAAAGCUAGGGGAGCAAAUGGGAUUAGAUACCCGCGUAGUCCCUGUCUCUUAUAA